Molecule: ribosomal RNA, 360 nt
Filed under: Triticum aestivum (bread wheat)
Lineage: Eukaryota; Viridiplantae; Streptophyta; Magnoliopsida; Poales; Poaceae
Description: partial small subunit ribosomal RNA
Source: RNAcentral
AUGGCGCAAAAGCAGAUAUGGUCCGGUAUUCCCUUGUUCCCCGUAUUGGUUAUGUUCCUUAUUCCUCGUCUAGCAGAAACUAAUCGAGCUCCGUCUGAUCUCCCAGAAGCGGAAGCUGAAUUAGUUGCAGGCUAUAAUGUAGAAUAUGCGCGGGAUGCGAUCCUUAAUAGUUCACUGUUGGCGGAAGCCAAUGUCUCGGGGACUCAUUCUGACUUAAACAAGGGGUGGGUCUUUACCAACUUCCAAAUCCAAGAUUUAGGGAAAAAAAAGAGGGGCAGGGCACUCUUCAUUCUUCAUUCGAAACUCAUGAAUGUCGGGUCGGAGGUUUUUGCCUUGUUAUCAAAAAGGGGAGUUGGGUAA